RNAcentral lists this ribosomal RNA (458 nucleotides) under uncultured bacterium. Its description in RNAcentral is "partial 16S ribosomal RNA". It matches the Rfam family "Bacterial small subunit ribosomal RNA", at positions 338 to 795 of the family's 1533-position model. The record is from RNAcentral.
CCUACGGGUGGCAGCAGUGAGGAAUAUUGGUCAAUGGGCGCGAGCCUGAACCAGCCAAGUCGCGUGAGGGAAGACGGUCCUAUGGAUUGUAAACCUCUUUUGUCGGGGAGCAAAGACGCCACGCGUGGCGUUCCGAGAGUACCCGAAGAAAAAGCAUCGGCUACCUCCGUGCAAGCAGCCGCGGUAAUACGGAGGAUGCGAGCGUUAUCCGGAUUUAUUGGGUUAAAAGGGGGCGCAGGCGGAAGAUCAAGUCAGCGGGAAAAUUGAGAGGGUCAACCUCUUCGAGCCGUUGAAACUGGUUUUCUUGAGUGAGCGAGAAGUAUGCGGAAUGCGAGGUGUAGCGGUGAAAUGCAUAGAUAUCACGCAGAACUCCGAUUGCGAAGGCAGCAUACCGGCGCUCAACUGACGCUCAUGCACGAAAGUGUGGGUAUCGAACAGGAUUAGAUACCCUGGUAGUC